AGCGUAGACGGUGUUGCAAGUCUGAUGUGAAAGGCGGGGGCUCAACCCCUGGACUGCAUUGGAAACUGUGAUACUCGAGUGCCGGAGAGGUAAGCGGAAUUCCUAGUGUAGCGGUGAAAUGCGUAGAUAUUAGGAGGAACACCAGUGGCGAAGGCGGCUUACUGGACGGUAACUGACGUUGAGGCUCGAAAGCGUGGGGAAGCAAACA
Molecule: ribosomal RNA, 208 nt
Filed under: uncultured bacterium
Lineage: Bacteria
Description: partial 16S ribosomal RNA
Rfam family: Bacterial small subunit ribosomal RNA
Source: RNAcentral